AUUGUGUUGUAUCUUAACCCUUGGGAGGGUGGUGCGUGCACACUCAUGGUUUCCAUGGGGAUUGGGGUAAGCCAUAUCCCUGGGUGAAGACUCCCAUAGACAAGCAACCUUGUGUCUCCCACCCUCCGUCCCUCCCCAGAAACACAUUUGUUUUUCUCCUCUAACUCACAGCUGUGUUUAUCCCUCCCCAGAAUGGGAAACAGUGAGGGGGAAGAGGGGGAGAAGGGGUCAGAAGAAGGGUUCAUGCUGGGUGUGGGGGCACUUGAGAUGUGGGGGUCAAGGGACUAUAGGCACAUGUCAUGUUUUGAGGUGGGAGAAGGUAUCCAGUUUGCAGUAAAGGAAAUGGAGCUGAGAGAGGGAAAGUGGCUUGCUGGAAGGACAGGAGGGACUCACUGGGGGGGGUUCCUGGCUGGCCCUGGAGUUGUCUUCUCACAAGGGAAAGGGGAGGUCUCUGGGGAAUGGCGCUGGCUUGGUUCACUCAAAGCAGUGACAUUAGCAAAAUGCCCAGCUCUCCUCUGAAAGAAAGCUCUGGUUUUGGGGAACAGGCAGAUUGGAAAUCUAUAUAUUCCAAAACGCAAUAGCCACCUCCUUGGUCCUGGUCUGGGUGGUGUGUUCUUCAUCUUUUAACAGGGUCACGGGGGCUCAAGAUCCAAGUGCUGUAAACCUGGUGAGAAAGCAAGGAAGAUUUUCUCAGCCUCUCCAUUUCAACCUUGCCGACUCCAGCCUUGGCCAGCACCUCUUUUUCCCACCAUGCUGUUCAGGCUGUGUGGGAAGAUGCCUUCCUGGCAGACUUGUACUCCGCCAGUUUCGGGACACUCAGUGGAACAGGCUCUUCUGAGUAGCAGUGGCCAUCAAGAGGUCUGUCAGAGCAACAAGGGCUUGGCCAUGUGGCAGGACGGAGGACUCUAGCAGUGAACAAGGCAUAGGAGAACAGAGGGAAGCAGAUGGGCUAGGAGAGAAAGAAUGGGGCAUCGUGCCCCUGUUGGGAAGUGAUCCUCCGUGUCCCGGGCUCACUGGUGCUACCUCUGAGGUGGAAGGACAGUCCUGUCCUGUCAUGUGCCCGAUGCUUCGUGUGCCCACAGUCACCUGGGCUGACAUGAGGGAUGUGAGAUGGCUUGCUAUAAGCAGGCAACUGCUGUGGUCCUUGCCUCCUGUGUCCUGUAGGAUAGCAGAACCGGAGAGGCGUGCAGGCUAAGACUACACACAUUUCCCCUGGGAUUUCUUUGCUGUGGCUCAGAAUAGAUCUUCAUCUUGAAACAACAUCACUUCAAGGUGUUUGGGAAACAGCAAAACAAAUCAGAAGAUGUUUUACCAGUGGCUUGCUGAAAUAGAAUAGUUACUGCAAAAAUACUUUUUUUUUUUCCCUCUCCCCCAAGUGGAGUAGACUGUCUGCCUAAGAAAUGUAGCCCGUCCUGGGUUAUGAGCUCCUUAAGGGAUCGUAUUACUGAAAAAAUUCAUGGAUUUGAUUAGGUAGAGACCAAGAAGUCAGAGCCAGCUGAAAGCAUCUCUCAAGGCUGGCAAAAUUGUGUUAUGCUGCCCUAGAGAUGGAAACGGCCCUGGGGCAUCCCUGGGAUAGACAAUGGGGGAGAUAGGAGGAGUGUAACAGCAACACUGCCCUCAUAGAGACUCAUGGUGUUGGCUCUGGUCCUGCCUGUAGGUUUGAAGAUGAAUCUAAAUGGGAAGGAGAAGAAGAGUGGAAAAGAGGCCUUCUUGCACCCAACAUGGUCUGCCCAUCCUGAGGGGCUGGGAGAGCCAGACUAAGAGGACAGGAGCAAGGUGCAUGCCAUCCAGGGCAGUUUGGGUACCAUUACCACUGUCACACGGAAGACUUAAAAGGAGCUUCUGUUGGGACAGAAGAGUUAAAACAACACUGAGUCUUGCAAGACUCCCCAGCUCAAACUUAUUGAUGAAGACCAGCAGCCAAGGAUAAGAGCAAGUGGAACACAGGGGAAGGAGCCAGUGGAGGAUCAGACCACAGAGUGUUGAUUCCUCCCAGGGCAACAGAGGAGGAGAUGGCCCCUCAGCCAAGGAGCACAGCAUGUAAAUGUCCUGGUACCUUUGCCUGGACAGCCAGCAGAGAGCACAGCACUGGGGAAAAAAUAAAAACUCCCCUUACCACCCCAGAGAGCUCAACAUCACCAGCCUGGACAAACACCGGCAGUAUCUUUUCCACGCUGAGGAGCUACACGCCGUAGUUGCAGGGACAAGGCUGGAGCAAGGAGGAGCCUGCUUGCUGCCUGGCCUCACAGGACUCCACACAGAGGCCGUGGUGGAGGUGCUGGGUCUGCCAGCAUCGUGCCACCGCUUGCUGUGGGCUCUGCAGGGCGGUCGCUGCCAGCCUGUGCAUGGGCAGCUGCGGCCUGGCAGCCCGACACAGGCACAUGUGCUCCUCUGCUGCUCCCGGCCAGAGCUAUCUCCUCUCAUUUGGCUGCUUCACUGCGUGUCAGGCGUGCUGAAGGUCCAGAAAAUACCGGGGUAAUCCAGGUUCACCUGCUGGCUUCCCACCUCAGGUGGCGUCGCUCUUGGUCAGACGUCGCUGCUGUGGCUUCCAUCAGCGUUCAUUCUCUGUGGUCACUGCACAUUGCUGCCACUCGGCUGCCUGGAGCUAGCCCGUGGGGUCGUGCCGCCUGGCAGGGCCUCCAAAUGGAUAGCGAAGAGCUGAGGGCGCUCUUCAGGCUGGUGCUUGUAAGCAGGAGGUAACUACAAAAAAUGAAGCCCUGAAUGCAGUUUUUCCAGGGCAAAGCAACCUCGGUGUUGGUGCUGGCUUCUUCCAAAAGCACCAGGUGUGUCGCUGCAGCCUUUCCAACUCGUCUGUCAGUCCUUGAGCUGGACCAUAUCUUCCCCUUCUGCAAGGCAGCUUUUGACUGCAGACGGCCUGAUCUUAUUGUAAGGAUUUGUGCGAGGAGUCCUGUGGCUUAAAUAGGGCCACAAAAUGACUGGCUGCAUUUAUCCACUCUAUUUCAGGAUCUGAUUUAUGCUGUUAAAGGGCAUUACAUGGACAUCCACCUGUCCCAGUGAGAGAAACCUGUCAGAGCCCAGGUUUCUCUCGGGAUCUGGGCUGACCUUUCCACACCCUGCAGAUACAGCUUUAAAGACUCCAUCGGGAAAAACUCAGACGAUGGCUCCAAGCAGAGGUCUGCAGUGAAAAUCGAAUAAUUAAUAUCUGAUGUGAACCCAGACACUGUAAACAUGAGCUUGAGAGAACAGCCCAUGAAGAGACUAUUGACCCUUUCUUCGAGGAGCCUGCUGGCCAGUGCACAGAAGAUGAGGGAAACAGCCUUGCUUUCUGAAUAGCAAGGUUAAAACGAUGCUAUACAUGUGUUUAUCAGUCAGGGCCAUCCAGCCCAGGUACUAAAUCAGGAGUGGUCCUUCAAAGUACCUCCACAUCUUCAGAGUCACUCGGGAGAUUCCCACGGAUGGAGAGGGGACUGCACCUGAAGCCUGGUUUCUUGUUCUGAGCUGCUCAAGGUCUCCCUGCUGGCAGAGAAGGAGCCACGUGACCCUUCCUGGAGCAGCUGCCAUACAACCGAAAUACAUACACCAGGCCAGCGCGCUCACAGAAAAUAUGUAAGUAGGUUACACGGGGGCGGGGGUUACACGGGGGUGGGGGAGACCAUUAAACACAGCAGGACCCACUUAACUGAGUACCUGUUAGAGGAGCAGAAAGUGGUGGAGGAUGAAUGAUGGGGCGGCUCUCCUCCCUCCAGCAAGCCCCAGUGAGACUCAAGGCUUGCUCGCUGAGGGAGAAGGAUUGAACCACAAAGCUUUGUGACCCUGAGCCACUACACCCACAGCAGUCUGCUCAGGCCCAUGUCCUGGUGGCCUGUGAAGAUCUCCAAGGAGGAAGACCCCACAACCUCUCUGGGCAGCCAGUGCCAGUGCUCAGUUACCUGCAGGUUGCCCAGGACCGUUUAGAAAGAAUUCAGACACACCCAAAGAGUCCCACAGUGUUAGAUCCAGCCAGGAAAUUGAUUUUCUUUCUUCAAAAUGAUUCUGUGGAAAAACGUGAAGUGCAACCAGGAGUUCAAAGUCUUGUGGGAUAAAAGGCUAAAAGUCUGUUUG
Molecule: long non-coding RNA, 4062 nt
Organism: Cygnus olor (mute swan)
Lineage: Eukaryota; Metazoa; Chordata; Aves; Anseriformes; Anatidae
Exons: 11
Source: RefSeq, a predicted model, not a curated record